CAAUUGCUAGCGAGGGCUUUAGCCAAUUCAGGCUUCACGGUGACACUGUUGGCCACAGACUUGAUGCAUUGACAAGCCGCCUUUUUAUCAGCGGAUGUAGUGGUCGCUGCAUCUAAACUCCUAACUCCGUCGCAGCAAGUCUCCGGAGGUUGUCCACUUCCGCUAGUCAAGUAGCUAACACAUGGCUGCAAAUCGCUUAGAACAACACUGCAAGAUAUCGCAGAUUCGGAAUAACGAGGUGUUAAAAAUAUUCCGAGAACGAAGAUGGUCACUAAAUUUUUCAAUAUGCUCAUUGUAGAAAGAAAUAAUAAGAUCUUAUGGUUUUAUAGUUUUCUUCCUUGUUUUUGUUAUAUAUGUAAAGUGAAGACGAAGGGGUUAUAUAUAAGGUGAAUUGCAAAAUUAUAUUACCAAAAAAUUUAAAAUUAGAGAAUUAUUAGAUGUUGGUGUAAUUGUGAUUGAGUGAAAGCUACUACUAAUGUACAUAAAAACUUCAACAUUUUGGUACGACUAUUCUUUUAAAUAGAUAUUAUUUAGGUCCAGGUAGUUAGGUUUGUAUAAGUCUUGUCAUUUUGGGUUUGCACAUAUUACUUUUAUAAUCAUUUUGGUACCAUUUGUAAUUACAAUACCCAAAGAUUACGUAUUUGCUAAACUAUUGGAGAUUUGGAGGUUAUGGGUCAUGUAGUCCAUUGAAGGGUUAAUUAAUCACUGAGUAAUUAAAUUAUACUAGUAAUAUUCAAUUUGCGUAAUCGUCUAAUUGCGUAGCUCAAUAAGUCAAUCGACAAUAUAUAAACCGUGGGAGGUAUGGCCGUAGCCCACGUUAGAUUUCUUUGUAGCGGUGUAGAGAACAUGCCAUCUGAUAGCACGAACAAGUGGGAUGGUCAAAUAGGGUCUGAAUCUAAAAAUUAUAAAAACUUUGAAAAUAAAUAUAUAAAUUAUGAUUUAAAACUUUAAAUUUUCAGAUAUACUAUUAAAUUUAGAGCUUGUGAUUUUAGAAAAAUAAACUUUUAAGACUACUCUAUUACAUUGUUAAAUAUAUUGUUAAUAUUCUUAAAAUAAUUUGAGACGGCACUAGUAUUAAUGAUCUUUAUCAAAGAAACAAAGUUUAUGGAAAAUAAUUCUGACAGAAGUACGAAGUGCAGAUCUCCAACUCUGAUUAUACGUUUAGAGAAUUCAUGCAAUACAAGAAAGAACUAUUUCCAAAAGAACCCAUUAAUUGUUUGAAGAAGAUCAUUACCCAUGUUCUUUAAUAUAUGAGGCAGAUAUGAUUAUCGAUGAUAAUAGUUUUGAUCGACAACAUCACGAAAAGCGUAGCAAAAUGACAAUACUUCUAAACAAGAAAAGAAAAAAACUUAAACCCAAAAAGUUACCAAAGAAAAAUGGGCUUGGUUUCAAUAAAUUUAACAAUUACUAAAUCUGCAUUUUUUAUUUUGCUAUUUUGCAAGUUAUCAAUCAAAACAAGUCUGCCUAGAUAAAAUUAGACCGCACAACACCAAAUACAUUAUAACUACUCACUAGGUGGUACUUGCAGGAUGAAUAGACUAAAGAAAAUUAAAACUUUUAAUUUAUGCCACAAUAACAGAGUCAAUCAAAAUAUAUUACUUCGCGAGAUUAGUGGUAUGGAUUAUUCGCGAGAUUUGCCCGGAAUACGAAAUUAAUUUUAGUUGCCAAUUUUAAAAGUAUGGAAAGUACUAUAAUUAAGAAAUCAUCAUAUAUUAAACAAUAUUAACUUUGAAAAUUAAGCUGAUCGAAAAUAACCAAAUUGACGUUUUUGACGUGUUGAUUCCUUAAUUUUAGAGUCUUGGUGCUUAAGUUAAGGGAUUAAAUGAUAUUAUUAAGUUUGUAUUGUCCAAUCAGUCAAAAGAUAAGAUUCAAUCGGCGUCAUAAUCCAUGAUCAAUGCUUCUAUAAAAUCAAUUAGGGGUUAUAUGAUUAAUAUUCAUAUACAAAUGACACUAUAUAAAUAUGAACCACAGAUGUAACAUACCAAAAUAAUUGUGAGGAAGACGAAUGCUUCUUUAAAUAUAUAUAUAUAUAUAUAUAUAUCUAGUAAAUUUCAUUAAUUAAAAUAGUAAUAAUUACUCAAUAUUUCACAUAAUUACAAUUAAUUUUUAUCCUUUUUAGUAGCGUUUCGUUUUGAUAAUGUAUUUCUAAGAAUGUUACUAUCUUAAUCUUCAAAGGAUGUUACGGUAUUCUAUUGUCACAAGCUUUAGUACGUUCAAGUUAUUAAUAAUAGUAUUAGACAAUAAAUUUAGUCAAGAGCAUAUCAAACGUACGUAUUGCAGUCGACCGUAGAAGAUGCAUCAACAGGCAAGCUCGCGUUACAAUUGCUAGCGAGGGCUUUAGCCAAUUCAGGCUUCACGGUGACACUGUUGGCCACAGACUUGAUGCAUUGACAAGCCGCCUUUUUAUCAGCGGAUGUAGUGGUCGCUGCAUCUAAACUCCUAACUCCGUCGCAGCAAGUCUCCGGAGGUUGUCCACUUCCGCUAGUCAAGUAGCUAACACAUGGCUGCAAAUCGCUUAGAACAACACUGCAAGAUAUCGCAGAUUCGGAAUAACGAGGUGUUAAAAAUAUUCCGAGAACGAAGAUGGUCACUAAAUUUUUCAAUAUGCUCAUUGUAGAAAGAAAUAAUAAGAUCUUAUGGUUUUAUAGUUUUCUUCCUUGUUUUUGUUAUAUAUGUAAAGU
Molecule: long non-coding RNA, 2681 nt
Filed under: Brassica napus (rape)
Lineage: Eukaryota; Viridiplantae; Streptophyta; Magnoliopsida; Brassicales; Brassicaceae
Description: long non-coding RNA (BNAP_LNC002182)
Source: RNAcentral